GAUAGAUUGGUGCCUUCGGGAACGCAGUGACAGGUGCUGCACGGCUGUCGUCAGCUCGUGUUGUGAAAUGUUGGGUUAAGUCCCGCAACGAGCGCAACCCCUAUUGAUAGUUACCAUCAUUAAGUUGGGUACUCUAUUAAGACUGCCGCUGACAAGGCGGAGGAAGGUGGGGACGACGUCAAGUCAUCAUGGCCCUUACGACCAGGGCUACACACGUGCUACAAUGGGUAUUACAGAGGGCUGCGAAGGUGCGAGCUGGAGCGAAACUCAAAAAGGUACUCUUAGUCCGGAUUGCAGUCUGCAACUCGACUGCAUGAAGUCGGAAUCGCUAGUAAUCGCAGGUCAGAAUACUGCGGUGAAUACGUUCCCGGGUCUUGUACACACCGCCCGUCACACCAUGGGAGUGGGUUGCUCCAGAAGUAGAUAGCUUAACGAAUGGGCGUUUACCACGGAGUGAUUCAUGACUGGGGUGAAGUCGUAACAAGGUAGCCGUAGGGGAACCUGCGGCUGGAUCACCUCCUUAA
RNAcentral lists this ribosomal RNA (524 nucleotides) under Francisella tularensis subsp. holarctica. RNAcentral's name for it is "bacterial SSU rRNA". It matches the Rfam family "Bacterial small subunit ribosomal RNA", at positions 1005 to 1533 of the family's 1533-position model. Lineage: Bacteria; Pseudomonadati; Pseudomonadota; Gammaproteobacteria; Thiotrichales; Francisellaceae. The record is from RNAcentral.